GAGAUUGGCCUAACGGCCGUGUCUAUUCCACACACACCGUGAACCGUUUUGGAGCCCUCCAGGGGGUUCCAGACAACAACACCAAAAACAAUGUGUAAUGAAUGUAACAUAAUCGUAACAAAACA
RNAcentral lists this unclassified non-coding RNA (125 nucleotides) under uncultured Cryptococcus. RNAcentral describes it as "sequence contains ITS1". The record is from RNAcentral. Lineage: Eukaryota; Fungi; Basidiomycota; Tremellomycetes.